CGGACCGGAAGAGGAAUUGGGGCACCGACAUGCGUCUCAGUCCAAGUGACAACGACGGCAAGUUACAGCGGAGAGAGAGAGUGUGAGAGAGAGAGAGGCGCACGGCUGUGGUGGCUUCUUUGGUGGAAGCAGUGGCGGCGAAGAGUGGCAAGAACGGCGGGAUGGAGUGUGCAAAGGGAAAAGAGGGAUGGCGAAGGUGGUGUGCGACGUAGGAGGUCGAUGUGGCACGUGUGGCAACCGACAGCAGUGGAUGGCAGCGUGCGACGGAGGUUGGGAGGGAAGAGAGAUGGGCGGCGCUGGCGACGUGAGUCGCGUGAUGCGCGACAACAACGGCGGUGUUUUGGCGGAGUGCGAAGGAAAGAGAGAGAUGGUCAAGGUGAUGGCGGCGGUGGCG
Molecule: long non-coding RNA, 394 nt
Filed under: Coffea arabica (coffee)
Lineage: Eukaryota; Viridiplantae; Streptophyta; Magnoliopsida; Gentianales; Rubiaceae
Description: long non-coding RNA (CARA_LNC006018)
Source: RNAcentral